This 292-nucleotide ribosomal RNA is filed under the name uncultured bacterium. RNAcentral's name for it is "partial 16S ribosomal RNA". It matches the Rfam family "Bacterial small subunit ribosomal RNA", at positions 505 to 796 of the family's 1533-position model. The record is from RNAcentral.
GUGUCAGCAGCCGCGGUAAGACAGAGGUGGCAAGCGUUGUUCGGAAUUACUGGGCUUAAAGGGCGAGUAGGCGGUGGAGCAAGUCUGAGGUGGAAUCCUAUGGCUUAACCAUAGAACUGCCUUAGAAACUGCUUUACUUGAGUCAGUGAGGGGAGGGCGGAAUUCCUGGUGUAGCGGUGAAAUGCGUAGAUAUCAGGAGGAAGGCCUGUGGCGAAAGCGGCCCUCUGGCACUGUACUGACGCUGAGGCGCGAAAGCGUGGGGAGCAAACAGGAUUAGAAACCCUUGUAGUCC